GAAGAAUUCAUAAUAUAUUGCUUUCUUAGUGAAUUACUAGACUGUUAGACUGUAUUUCGUUGGUUUGUUAAAUUAUUUUUCUGUAAAUCUGAAAUUUUUGUUCCUAUGGAAAUUUACAUUGUUUAUUGGUUGUAUAGGUUUUGCGAAUUUCGAGCUUCAUUGUUAGAAUUGGAUCUCCAUUACAUGUGACAAAAUGAGGCCCUUGAAACAUCCUGAAUAAUGGGAAUUUUCUUUGAUUCUUAUACUGUUUGUAGGAUUGGAUAUAGCAUGAUUGC
This 275-nucleotide unclassified non-coding RNA is filed under the name Hevea brasiliensis (rubber tree). Lineage: Eukaryota; Viridiplantae; Streptophyta; Magnoliopsida; Malpighiales; Euphorbiaceae. The record is from RNAcentral.